AACGAACGCUGGCGGCAUGCCUAACACAUGCAAGUCGAACGAGACCUUCGGGUCUAGUGGCGCACGGGUGCGUAACGCGUGGGAACCUUCCCUUAGGUUCGGAAUAACUCCCCGAAAGGGGUGCUAAUACCGGAUAAUGUCUUCGGACCAAUGAUUUAUCGCCUUUGGAUGGUCCCGCGUUGGAUUAGCUAGUUGGUAGGGUAAAAGCCUACCAAGGCGACGAUCCAUAGCUGGUCUGAGAGGAUGAUCAGCCACACUGGGACUGAGACACGGCCCAGACUCCUACGGGAAGCAGCAGUGGGGAAUAUUGGACAAUGGGCGAAAGCCUGAUCCAGCAAUGCCGCGUGAGUGAUGAAGGCAUUAGGGUUGUAAAGCUCUUUUACCCGGGAUGAUAAUGACAGUACCGGGAGAAUAAGCUCCGGCUAACUCCGUG
This 433-nucleotide ribosomal RNA is filed under the name uncultured bacterium. RNAcentral's name for it is "partial 16S ribosomal RNA". It matches the Rfam family "Bacterial small subunit ribosomal RNA", at positions 29 to 507 of the family's 1533-position model. The record is from RNAcentral.